GAGUGUUAAAUGAGUACUAAUAACUAAAAGCCUUGAAUUUUUAUUUUCCAUAAAGUAGGACUGGAAUAUUACAAAUAGUCAUGACCAUAUAUGGACAUGACAUAAUUAGUUCAAAGGCCUUUGAUACUUUGAAAUAACACAAAUAACAAAAACCAACUAAGCACACAUGCAUUAGAUACUAGGUAGAGCUAGUAAGGCUGCCUGGCUGUCAAAUUAAUUUAUUUUAAUAUUAUGUACAGUAGUAGUCCAAUUGCUAUAAACUGCUGUAUAUAUAUUUAUUUUGACAGCCUCAUCACCACAGUUUCGGGCAGAUAAACAUUGAGCAGCCAGCAAAGCCAGCUUAAUUAAGCUUGACUGAGUUUUGCCGUCAUUGUUGGCUGAGAACUGAUUUUUUCGAUGGAAGCGUCAGAGGAGUAUCCGAAUUUAUUAUGGUCGCCGCUUUUUUCCACCGAGUUCUCAAGACUUUCUUUGAUUUUAUCCCAAUCAAUAACUUCGUCGACUUUAAUGAUCUCAGUAUAGACCUGCAAUCGAUAGAUAAUUAAUUAUUUCAAAGCUCUAAAUGGUGUGGUUUGGUUUUUUUUUUUUUUUUGUUGAAAAAGCAAAGUAAUUCAGCCAAAAUUCUAAUGGUGUAUUACCACAACAUAUGAAUGAAUUUGAAGUAAAAUAAAAAAUGAGUUAAUUUUGAGAUACUAUUGAAAAUGAAAUUAAUAAACUAUGGGAAUUAAGAUCAAUACCUUGUUAUUAGGCACAUUUUUAGCAUUGCUCCAAGCAAUAAUCCACUUAAACUU
RNAcentral lists this long non-coding RNA (788 nucleotides) under Durio zibethinus. Its description in RNAcentral is "long non-coding RNA (DZIB_LNC002445)". The record is from RNAcentral. Lineage: Eukaryota; Viridiplantae; Streptophyta; Magnoliopsida; Malvales; Malvaceae.